CCUUGUACACACUGCCCGUCACACCAUGGGAGUUGGUUUUACCCGAAGGUAGUGCGCUAACCGCAAGGAGGCAGCUAACCACGGUAGGGUCAGCGACUGGGGUG
This 104-nucleotide ribosomal RNA is filed under the name uncultured bacterium. RNAcentral's name for it is "partial 16S ribosomal RNA". It matches the Rfam family "Bacterial small subunit ribosomal RNA", at positions 1379 to 1482 of the family's 1533-position model. The record is from RNAcentral.